Molecule: non-coding RNA, 45 nt
Filed under: Schistosoma mattheei
Lineage: Eukaryota; Metazoa; Platyhelminthes; Trematoda; Strigeidida; Schistosomatidae
Source: RNAcentral
AUUCAGCUGAUGAGUCCAGAAUAGGACGAAACAUGCGUCCACCAU